GGAAGGGUACAGCUCAAGUGGUAGAGUGCAUGCCUGGCAAGCACAAGGUCCUGGGUUCAAUCCCCAGUACCUCCU
Molecule: non-coding RNA, 75 nt
Organism: Camelus ferus (Wild Bactrian camel)
Lineage: Eukaryota; Metazoa; Chordata; Mammalia; Artiodactyla; Camelidae
Source: Rfam